AUUCGAAAUAGUCAUUUUAUGGAAAAUAAAAUUUAGAAAUUUGAUUAAUGUUAGAAUAUGCUAAAUUUUGUCAAACUUCUAAUGGCACUAACUCAUAUUUCAGGAUGAGAUAGGUUUAUUUCCAGUUAUGGUUGGAAAGAUCUUGGAAUAACCUUUCUAUUGCAACCAAGUCUGCAUAAUUUCAAGUAAAUACGAGUAAGUUAUGCCCUUUGGAAUUUGGUUGUUUGAAUAAUGAAAUGUCUAAUAGGGAUUUUAGAGGGGUAGUUUGGGCUUUUCCUUGUCGUAUUAUUUUAAUUAUUCUAUAUAUUAUGAAUUUAUUUAGUUUAUGCAUUAGAAAAACAAACAUAGGGUUUUCGGAGAAAGCAUCACUAGCUUACGCUCUGAUCCGCGUUGCAUGGGCCACGGGAAAUACCAUGUGAAUCAACAAGAACCACAUUGCAAGGCUAAAUACUCUUGGGUGACAGAUAGCGAAGUAGUACCAUGUGGGAAGGGUGAAAAGAACCCCCAUUAAGGAGUGACAUAAAACAUGAAACCGUAAGUUCCCAAGCAGUGGGACGAACCAGGGCUCUGACCGCGUGCCUGUUGAAGAAUAAGUCGACGACUCAUAGGUAGUAUAUUGGUUAAGGUAACCCACCGGAGCCGUAGCGAAAGCGAGUCUUCAUAAGGCAAUGUUCACUACUUAUAGACCUGAACGUGGGCGAUCUAUCCAUGACGAGGAUGAAUCUUGGGUGAAACUAAGUGGAGGUAUGAACCAACUGAUAUUGAAGAAUCAGCGGAUUAGUUGUGUUUAAAGGUGAAUUGCAACUUGAACCCAGAGCUAGCUGGUUCUCCCAUAAAGGUGUUCAGGCUUUAUAGUUGACUGGACAUCUAUAGGUAAAGCACUGUUUUGGUGUGGCCAGCGAGUGCGGUACCAAAUCCAGGAAAAAUGUGAAUACUAGAUGUGACCUCAAAUAACACGGUUGAGGUCGUCUAGAAAAAUGAUGGGGGAUAAUCUUCAUCAUCUAGAGGCUAACAACAAAGAUCACUAGGUAAGGACACUAAAUGACUUCUUAGUGAUAAAGGAGGUAGAGAGGCAGAGACAGCUAGAAGGUUUGCUAGAAAGAGUGUGUAAUAACUCACUGAUCUAGUGUUCUUGCGCUGAAGAUGAACUGGGCCAAAAGGUCUGCCGAAGCUGUGGAUGUAAAAAUACGUCGUUAGGGUAGCACUCCCCCUUAGAUAGAAUCCUCCCCGCGAUCGAUGAGACGAAGCCGAAGCGAGAAUUUUUACUUGGGUAACGCAAAUAUUGGUGAGAAUCCAAUGCCCCAAAAAGCUAAGGAUAUCUCCGCAUGGUUCAUCCACAGAGGGUGAUCCUGGGCCUAAGAUAAGGCCGAAAGACAUAGUCGAUGGAGAACAUGUGAAUAUUACUAUACUACCGUUUUUCGUCUUGAGGGACGGAGGAGAGAAGGUUAUCCAAAAGAUGGUUAUCGGUUCAAGAACGUAAGGUGUCCUUGAUUUUUGAGAGUAAGAAGAGGUACAAAAUAUGCGUAGAGCCAAUAUUCGAAUACCAGGCGCUACGACACUAAAGUAACCCUUGUCAUACUGCUUGUAAAAUAUGAAACGACGUUAAGCAAGAAGGUACCUGUACCCAAAAUCGUCACAGUUUUGUAGGUAGAGAAAACCUCAGGGCAUGAGACAACUCUCUCUAAGGAACUCAGAAAAAUAUUCACGUAACUCAGGGAGAAAGGGUGCCUCCUAACAAUGGGGGUUGUAGUGACUUGGCCCGAGCGAAUGUUUACCAAAACUACAUGUCUCCGCAAAGUUGAAAAACAAUGUAUGGGGUUGUCACCUGCCGAGUGGCGGAUGGUGAAGAAUGUUGGUGACGUUAUAAAAUGGGAGUCAGCGAAUAAAGUCACGGUGAAAGGCGACCGUAACUAUAAUGGUCCUAAGAUAGAUAAUUUCCUUGUCAGGUUAGUUCAAACUUGCACGAAAGGUGUAAUAAUAUAGUCAUUGUCUAGGAGAGACGCUCGGUGAGAUAGCACUCAGGAAGGGAUAGAAUUCUAACCUCAUGUAAGUUCCUACGGGCCGAGGGACAGUCUCAAGUAGACACUUUCUACGAAGCAUUGGUCUCCUAAAAGGUAACGGAGGCAUGCAAAGGUUUUCUCGGGCCGGACAAUGAUUGGACCUCGAGUGCAAAUGCAGAAGGGAUCUUGGCUGCAAGACCCACACAUCGAGCGAGGACAAAAGUCGUCUUUAGUGAUCAAACAGUGCCAAGUGGAAGGUCCGUCUCUUAACGAAUAAAAGUUACUCUAGGGAUAACAAGCUGAUCUUCCCCAAUAACUCACAUCGACGGGAAGUUUUGGCACCUCAAUGUCGUCUCUUCGCCACCUGGGGUUGUAGUAUGUUGAAAGGGUUGGGCUGUUUUCCCACUAAAGAAGUACAUGAGCUGGGUUAAAAAUGUUAUGAGACAGGUUGGUCCAUAUCUAAUGUGGGCGUUAGAGCAUCGAGAGGACCUUUUCCUAGUACGAGAGGACAGAGAAGGAGGCACUUAUGGUGUACCAGGUAUUCUUCUUACGUAAAAUCUGGGUAGACAAAUUCAAAACGAAUAAUUGUUGAAAGCAUCUAAGUAUUAAGGCCACCCCAAAAUGAGUGUUCUCUUAUUCCGACAUCCGAGAGCUUCCUGUAGCAUAACAAAGAUAGCGAAGGGUUCUCUGCCCUUGCGGGAAUGGACGGACAAAAGUUUUCUUGAGAAUUCAAGAGAAGGUCACAGCGAGACGAGUCGUUUAUCAUUAAGAUAGGUGUCAACUGGAAGUGAAGUGA
RNAcentral lists this ribosomal RNA (2796 nucleotides) under Solanum habrochaites. RNAcentral describes it as "bacterial LSU rRNA". It matches the Rfam family "Bacterial large subunit ribosomal RNA". Lineage: Eukaryota; Viridiplantae; Streptophyta; Magnoliopsida; Solanales; Solanaceae. The record is from RNAcentral.